UAUCUCGUGCUCUUGUUCUAAUGGAACCACCUAAUAUUCCAUCCCGAACUUAGUAGUGAAACGUUAGAAGGGUGAAAAUACUCGAGGGGAGGCCCUCCGGGAAAAUAACUUAGUGCGAGAUA
This 122-nucleotide ribosomal RNA is filed under the name Dicloster acuatus. The record is from RNAcentral. Lineage: Eukaryota; Viridiplantae; Chlorophyta; Trebouxiophyceae; Chlorellales; Chlorellaceae.